GAUGAAGAACGUAGCGAAAUGCGAUAAGUAGUGUGAAUUGCAGAAUUCCGUGAAUCAUCGAAUCUUUGAACGCACAUUGCGCCUUCUGGUAUUCCGGAAGGCAUGCCUGUUCGAGAGUCAUUAACAACCGUUUCGAUCCCUUUCUUUCAGAAAUUACAAAGAGGAAAAGGGUUUGGUUAUGGUGGAGGAGGGAAAGGGAGCGUUUAGCCUGUAAAAAAAGAGGCUGUGUUCCGCCUCCCCCCCAAAAUUGUACAGGCGGUCGUGUGCGCCCACGCAUCGAGGUGUUGUAAAAGCUGCCACGGUACUUUUCACCUGUGCAGUGCGAGAUUGGCCAGCCGGUUUAAAAACCCCUCCAAACAAUCAAAGGUUGACCUCGGAUCAGGUAGGGAUACCCGCUGAACUUAAGCAUAUCAAUAAGCGGAGGA
This 425-nucleotide unclassified non-coding RNA is filed under the name soil metagenome. RNAcentral describes it as "partial contains 5.8S ribosomal RNA, internal transcribed spacer 2, and large subunit ribosomal RNA". The stretch from base 1 to 120 matches the Rfam family "5.8S ribosomal RNA", at positions 35 to 154 of the family's 154-position model. The record is from RNAcentral.